This 346-nucleotide unclassified non-coding RNA is filed under the name soil metagenome. RNAcentral describes it as "partial contains 5.8S ribosomal RNA, internal transcribed spacer 2, and large subunit ribosomal RNA". The stretch from base 1 to 120 matches the Rfam family "5.8S ribosomal RNA", at positions 35 to 154 of the family's 154-position model. The record is from RNAcentral.
GAUGAAGAACGCAGCGAAAUGCGACAAGUAAUGUGAAUUGCAGAAUUCAGUGAAUCAUCGAAUCUUUGAACGCACAUUGCGCCCGCCAGUAUUCUGGCGGGCAUGCCUGUUCGAGCGUCAUUUCAACCCUCAAGCCCUCGGGUUUGGUGUUGGGGAUCGGCGAGCCUUUCUGGCAAGCCGGCCCCGAAAUCUAGUGGCGGUCUCGCUGCAGCCUCCAUUGCGUAGUAGUAAAACCCUCGCAACUGGAACGCGGCGCGGCCAAGCCGUUAAACCCCCAACUUCUGAAUGUUGACCUCGGAUCAGGUAGGAAUACCCGCUGAACUUAAGCAUAUCAAUAAGCGGAGGA